GUAGUGACUUGAUGAAGACAGAACAUCCAGAACCUCCCUAGUAGUGACUUGAUGAAGACAGAACAUCCAGAACCUCCCUAGUAGUGACUUGCCUUAGAGAGAACAGUGGGACACCAUUUACAGUAUCAGUUUUGAGUUCGGUGUAAUGAAGUUGACCUGGUUAACCCAGGUAGGGAAGCUGGGGAGGGAGAAUGUCCGAGAAAGGAACCACAAUGACGUCUCCUCCACCACGGCCUCCAAGACAAUAUAAAUACUGUCCCUACCAGGUAGAAAACAUGACAACCUACCAAACCAACCCGCAAGGUGAACUGUGAUAUUUUCGCAUUACUAUUCAAACUGAAGAAAGACAAAUCUCCCGGAGCCAAUAUGAAGUUCAGCACCGUCCAACUCGUAGCCGCUGUGGUAGUGGUGAUGAGCGUCUGUCUGCUGCGCGAAUCCGUGGCGCAUUCCAUCCAUCGCCCGCUCAGCGCCCCCUGCACAGCGCGGAUACCG
This is a long non-coding RNA of Oncorhynchus tshawytscha (Chinook salmon), 492 nucleotides long. RefSeq lists it as uncharacterized. The record is from RefSeq and is a predicted model, not a curated record. The transcript has 3 exons. NCBI's taxonomy places the organism in Eukaryota, Metazoa, Chordata, Actinopteri, Salmoniformes, Salmonidae.